RNAcentral lists this unclassified non-coding RNA (2063 nucleotides) under Megachile rotundata (alfalfa leafcutting bee). RNAcentral describes it as "protein Malvolio, transcript variant X7". The record is from RNAcentral. Lineage: Eukaryota; Metazoa; Arthropoda; Insecta; Hymenoptera; Megachilidae.
UAUUGUUCUUCGAUCGAAUAAGAAUUAAUGUUAACGUUAAAUGUUAUUUCAUUUUCUCUCGUUACACGACUACUUAAUAAGUAACGUCGAAAUAUUUGCUCCUGUAAUUUCGUGCUUUAUUAAAAUUACGACGCAUCUUGUCGGUAUAUCAUGCAGAAUAGUUACACUAUCGAGUCUAACAAUGAUUCCACGAUCAAGACUGUGCCUGGUCAGCGUACGCAAGAAGCGCAGACCAUUAACAAUGCGACAGAAAACACUUGCUUAACACCGAACAGGAGUCAAACAUAUUUUGCGGACGAAAAAGUUCUUAUACCGGAUACGGAUAAUGGCAUAUUUAGUUUUAAAAAAUUAUGGGCAUUCACGGGUCCUGGAUUUUUGAUGUCUAUAGCGUAUCUAGAUCCUGGAAAUAUAGAAUCCGAUUUGCAAUCUGGAGUAGCUGCCAAGUAUAAAUUAUUAUGGGUAUUACUUAGUGCAACAAUUUUAGGCCUUGUCAUGCAGAGAUUAAGCGCAAGGCUCGGCGUGGUAACCGGUCUGCAUUUAGCAGAAAUGUGUUACAGACAAUAUAAAAAAGUGCCUAGAUUGAUUUUAUGGAUAAUGAUAGAAAUAGCUAUAAUCGGUAGUGACAUGCAAGAAGUAAUAGGAACAGCCAUUGCUUUAUCUUUAUUGACUAACGGGGCCAUCCCUAUAUGGGGCGGGGUGCUAAUCACGGUAAUCGAUACUUUUACAUUUUUAUUAUUGGACAAAUACGGUUUAAGAAAAUUGGAACUCUUUUUUGGAUUUCUUAUCACGGUCAUGGCUGUUACUUUCGGUUACGAGUAUGUCGUUUCUGCUCCUCCGCAAGGUGAUGUGAUAAGCGGGAUGUUUGUACCUUGGUAUAAACAUUAUGACAGUCAAAUGUUACUGCAAGCUGUGGGAAUUGUUGGUGCGGUCAUAAUGCCGCAUAACUUAUAUCUUCACAGUGCUCUUGUUAAAUCAAGAGAUAUCGAUCGUAGGGAAUAUAAUAAAGUGAAAGAAGCAAAUAUGUAUUACUUCAUCGAAGCUUGCAUCGCGCUUUUGGUUUCUUUCAUAAUUAACGUUUUCGUUGUUGCGGUGUUUGCGCAUGGUCUUUAUGAAAAAACGAACCAAGAAGUUCACGAUCUUUGUGAAAGCAACAACUACACUAUGGGAAUGGAUACGUUUAAACCAGAAAAUACAACUAUUUCAGUAGAUUUAAACAAAGGUGGUAUCUUUCUUGGUUGUGCCUUUGGUGCAGCUGCAAUGUAUAUUUGGGCUGUUGGUAUUUUUGCUGCUGGUCAAUCUUCUACAAUGACUGGGACAUAUGCGGGACAGUUUGCGAUGGAAGGUUUCUUGAACCUCCAGUGGGCACGUUGGAAGCGAGUUCUCUUCACGAGAAUGAUCGCUAUUGUGCCUACUUUCCUCGUUGCAUUCUACAGCGAUAUAAAUAAUUUAACCGGAAUGAAUGAUAUUUUAAACGCUAUUAUGACGCUUCAGUUACCUUUCGCAACGUUACCAACAAUAGCAUUCACCAGUAGCGCUCAAAUAAUGGGUGAAUUUCGGAAUGGAAUAACGAAUAAAGUUGUUGCGACAGCGUUGUCUGCUAUUGUAAUAACUAUAAACAUAUAUUUUGUAAUAAAUACGGUUCAAGAGGAUCUACCGCAUCACUGGACAGUGAUACUUGCCAUUUCUAUAUAUUCUGUCUUGUAUCUUCUAUUUUGUCUUUAUCUGGUAAUUCAUAUGGCUGUAAGCAUGGGUGCAACUUCCCUUAACGAUUGCUGGUUCGUGAAAAAAUACAUUGGCAGUCCUGUAAGUACAACACUCGGAUUAUCAAAUCCUGCUGCAUAUGCAAGUUUCGACAAUGUAUCAAAAACAUCACUAAAUACACAAUUAAGUUUACUUCAUGAAACUACUUUAAAUAAGUUCUAUUUUUUUUUUCUAAAUUUAAAAAGUGUGCAUGUUUAAAACAGUUGCAACAUCGCCCGAGUUCAGCAUUAUUCAUGAUUAUCUAACAGAAGAUCGAAUCCUGCAUUUACUAUUCAAGAAAAUGGGACAGGAAGUUUUUCUAC